CUCCUGCCUCAGCCUCCCAAGCCACUGGGGGGACAGGUGUGCACCACUGGCUUGAUCGACCACUUUAUUUCGAGAUGGGGUCUUGCUCAGUGGCUUAUGGCCUGGCUGAGUUGUCGAGGCCGACUUGGAACUCGUGACCCUCCUGCCUCAGCCUUUUAAGCCACUGGAUUCUAGGUGUGUGCCUCCGUACCCCUCCUGUGAUCUUCUUACUUAGGGAAAAAAAAAAACAACCCCGCUGUGCCUCAGUUUCCCCAUCUGUAAAGCAGGAAUGAGAGUGGUGUGUUUGAGUGGACUUAGAAUAAUAUCUGGCAAAGAAACACUCCGGGAUCUUUCCAAGCAGCCUGCCAUGUUGGGUCACAGGCUCAGAUAUGAAAUGUGACUCCGCUCCCAGAAGGAACCGAGAUGUUUUAAAAUUGUUUUUUGUUUGUUUGUUUGUUUUUGUACCAGGGAUUGAACCCAGGGGUACUUAACCGUUAGUCACCUCCCCAGCCCUAUUUUUUUUAUUUUAUUUAGAGACGGUCUCCACUGAGUUGCUUAGAGCCUCACUGAGUUGCUGAGGCUGGCCUCCAACUUGCGAUCCUCCUGCCUCAGCCUCCCGAGUCACUGGGAUGACAGGUGCCCACCAGGCCCGGCCAGAGUCAAGAUUUCCUGCGAGGACCGAUAUGUGGUCGGCUUUUCCAGAAUAUUCCAUUUGUGGUCAAGAGAGUGUUGUUAAAAUUGCCUGCUGAGGAUCUGGGUUCAUCUGCUUGUAGCCCUGCCAGGUCCUGCUCCGUGUAUUUAAAAUCACGGCCGAGGCGCAACGGAAAUGAUGCUUGAUUGUUCCUUGUUUUGUUGCAGGGCGCCCAGCAUCUUUUGGUCGCCUUCCAGUUUCAACCUGGGUGACUCUGGAUCUUUGAGACCGGGAGCCUUCCAAUUAGUUUUUGUAAUAAAAAUCACAGAUGCCAAGUGUA
Molecule: non-coding RNA, 950 nt
Organism: Ictidomys tridecemlineatus (thirteen-lined ground squirrel)
Lineage: Eukaryota; Metazoa; Chordata; Mammalia; Rodentia; Sciuridae
Source: RefSeq, a predicted model, not a curated record